AUGACAAGGGGGGCAAUCUCAAUGGAGAUUCUCCUCUCUGCAAUGGCAGAGGCGAUGGAGUCGCCGGAUCCUCGACAACGAGCUCGUUGGUACAAGUACCACUCCCGCCUCUCAUCGCCGACGCUAGAGGCAGAAGGGCUGGUAAAUUCGCGUGUUAUUGAUGUUGUCGGCGAGGAAAGAAAAGAGGAGGAUAAAGAUUCUGACAACGAAGAGGAGGAAGAGGAUUCUAAGGAGAUGGAGGAAGAAGAGGAUUUUGGCGAGGAAGAGGAUUCUAACGAGGAGGAGGAAGAGGAUUCUGACAAGGAGGAUGAGCAGGAGGAGGAUAUAGCGGAGGACAUCUACCAGGGGUUUGGAGAUCAUCGCAUCGGAGGAGGUUGUAGAAGAGGUGGUCUAUCAGGGGGGUAUGGAGAUCAUCGUUCAUCCUUCGCCGGCAGACAUGAAUCUGAUGAUUCCACUGGACGAAGAGGAUGA
This 471-nucleotide ribosomal RNA is filed under the name Triticum aestivum (bread wheat). RNAcentral's name for it is "partial small subunit ribosomal RNA". The record is from RNAcentral. Lineage: Eukaryota; Viridiplantae; Streptophyta; Magnoliopsida; Poales; Poaceae.